This 621-nucleotide ribosomal RNA is filed under the name Lwoffella lincolnii. RNAcentral describes it as "bacterial SSU rRNA". It matches the Rfam family "Bacterial small subunit ribosomal RNA", at positions 32 to 654 of the family's 1533-position model. The record is from RNAcentral. Lineage: Bacteria; Pseudomonadati; Pseudomonadota; Gammaproteobacteria; Moraxellales; Moraxellaceae.
GACGCUGGCGGCAGGCUUAACACAUGCAAGUCGAACGAAGAGGUCUAGCUUGCUAGACUGAUUAGUGGCGAACGGGUGAGUAACAUUUAGGAAUCUACCUUAUAGAGGGGGAUAGCUCGGGGAAACUCGAAUUAAUACCGCAUACGACCUACGGGUGAAAGGGGGCGCAAGCUCUUGCUAUAAGAUGAGCCUAAACCAGAUUAGCUAGUUGGUGGGGUAAAGGCCUACCAAGGCGACGAUCUGUAGCUGGUCUGAGAGGAUGAUCAGCCACACUGGGACUGAGACACGGCCCAGACUCCUACGGGAGGCAGCAGUGGGGAAUAUUGGACAAUGGGCGAAAGCCUGAUCCAGCCAUGCCGCGUGUGUGAAGAAGGCCUUAUGGUUGUAAAGCACUUUAAGUGGGGAGGAAAAGCUUAUGGAUAACACCCAUAGGUUCUGACGUUACCCACAGAAUAAGCACCGGCUAACUCUGUGCCAGCAGCCGCGGUAAUACAGAGGGUGCAAGCGUUAAUCGGAAUUACUGGGCGUAAAGCGAGCGUAGGUGGUUUAUUAAGUCAGAUGUGAAAUCCCUGGGCUUAACCUAGGAACUGCAUCUGAUACUGAUAAACUAGAGUAGGUGAG